Molecule: ribosomal RNA, 788 nt
Filed under: uncultured bacterium
Lineage: Bacteria
Description: bacterial SSU rRNA
Rfam family: Bacterial small subunit ribosomal RNA
Source: RNAcentral
CAGUCGAGCGAACCACUUCGGUGGGAAGCGGCGAACGGGUGAGUAACACGUAGGUGAUCUGCCCAUCAGACGGGGACAACGAUUGGAAACGAUCGCUAAUACCGGAUAGGACGAAAGUUUAAAGAUGCUCCUGGCAUCACUGAUGGAUGAGCCUGCGGCGCAUUAGCUAGUUGGUGGGGUAAAGGCCUACCAAGGCGACGAUGCGUAGCCGACCUGAGAGGGUGAACGGCCACACUGGGACUGAGACACGGCCCAGACUCCUACGGGAGGCAGCAGUAGGGAAUCUUCGGCAAUGGGCGAAAGCCUGACCGAGCAACGCCGCGUGAAUGAAGAAGGCCUUCGGGUUGUAAAAUUCUGUUAUAAGGGAAGAAAGGUGACAGGAGGAAAUGACUAUCAAUUGACGGUACCUUGUGAGAAAGCCACGGCUAACUACGUGCCAGCAGCCGCGGUAAUACGUAGGUGGCAAGCGUUAUCCGGAAUUAUUGGGCGUAAAGAGCGCGCAGGUGGUUAAUUAAGUCUGAUGUGAAAGCCCACGGCUUAACCGUGGAGGGUCAUUGGAAACUGGUUGACUUGAGUGCAGAAGAGGGAAGUGGAAUUCCAUGUGUAGCGGUGAAAUGCGUAGAGAUAUGGAGGAACACCAGUGGCGAAGGCGGCUUCCUGGUCUGCAACUGACACUGAGGCGCGAAAGCGUGGGGAGCAAACAGGAUUAGAUACCCUGGUAGUCCACGCCGUAAACGAUGAGUGCUAAGUGUUGGGGGUCGAACCUCAGUGCUGAAGUUAACGCAUUA